GCCUCCGUGGUGUAUUGGCCAGCACACUUAACGUGUAACCCAGAGGUCUGUGGUUCGAUUCCCGGCGAAGGCG
This 73-nucleotide transfer RNA is filed under the name Stegodyphus mimosarum. It matches the Rfam family "tRNA". From Rfam's summary of the family: Transfer RNA (tRNA) molecules are approximately 80 nucleotides in length. The record is from Rfam by way of RNAcentral. Lineage: Eukaryota; Metazoa; Arthropoda; Arachnida; Araneae; Eresidae.